AUCGAGCUGAUGAGUCCCAAAUAGGACGAAACGCGCGUCCUGGAU
RNAcentral lists this non-coding RNA (45 nucleotides) under Schistosoma mansoni. Lineage: Eukaryota; Metazoa; Platyhelminthes; Trematoda; Strigeidida; Schistosomatidae. The record is from RNAcentral.